Molecule: non-coding RNA, 21 nt
Filed under: Arabidopsis thaliana (thale cress)
Lineage: Eukaryota; Viridiplantae; Streptophyta; Magnoliopsida; Brassicales; Brassicaceae
Source: RNAcentral
CGUCGGCUGUCAGCGGACUGC